GUAUCUAGAGAUGCAUAUAUUGGGAGGGGUUUGCAGGGGAUGAAAGCCAGUAACUGAAUGCAGAGCCAUCGCUGGUGGGAUCGGUGGAGAGGUGCAGGAGGGAUGCUGUGGUGCGUUGGACAAGUCAAGCUGUGACAGCUCUGUGUUUCAGUGCCCUGACGUGAAGUGGGAGGACUGAGACCUUGGCAGAGCACAGGAGAGUCCCCUUUGUCCUGCUGUGAGGAUUCCCAGUGGGUGAGAGCUGCUUCAAAAUACAGCCGUUGCUUUGGGAGCUGCCUGGAUGCAGUGGCCUUGUGUCAUGCUUGAAUGAGUUUUGCUCCAUCAGAGGAAGAGAUGACCCUGUUUUCCCUCGUCUUUCUCCUCCCUCGUCUCCCUGUUCUGUCUUUCACCGCCUGGACUGGGGCCUGGCAGCCAGGCUUGGAGACCUGCCCCAUGGCAGAGCAGAGGGAGCUGCAGGAUCAGAGGCUUCACAUCCCAGAGCGGUGUUACAGAGAGCUGCACCCCUGUCAGGGUGCCCAACCUCAUCCAGGAGGACCUCCUGCCCCAUAAAGCCAGCUCUGAAGCUGGGAGCUCACAGAGUGGGAUCUGCUGGUGAGAACCGUGUUCCCUUCCAACUGUUGCUCUUCCUCCAGGGGCUACAGUGCUAGAAGUGGGUUUACUCUCUCUUCCCAGUUUGUUUCCCUGUAACAUCAUUUUCAGUUCCAGUUUAACCCCACGUGGUUCCGGUGUGAAGCAGCUGGAGGGGAAAUGACAAACCCUUUCCUUGUGUGUUCUUGGCUUUUUUCAACAUCACCUGCUCCCCUCAGUGACUGUCCUGCCCUGGGUGUCCUGGGAAGCCAUCAGGAGCGCUGCCUUGGAGCUCUCCCCCUCCAAACCCAUCCUGGUGUCCGAGCAAGCUCACCAAAGUGGCUUUGUGGCUCCCGAAAGGAACUGAGCAUUGGUGAAGGUUCACAUGGGCACAUGCAGCCCGAGCCCCACAGAUAUUGCCUCUUGCCUUACGUGUACAGGUCCUACAUAGACCUUGGUUUAUCUUCACACCAACUGUUGGAGUCGAUGCUAAAGUAAACCAAAGGACAGUGUCACAGUCUGAGUCACUCGCACCGAGCUGGGCGGCCGCGUUUCGAUUGCACUAACAUGAAGAAGGAGGAUUGACACCAUCUCAGCCCAUGUUCCUGCUGCCUGGAGUCACUCAUUGAAAGUAGGGAUCUGCAUCUUUCCAGCCUUCUGGGGCUCCUGAACUCGUGUGAAGUGUUCAUACUGCUUUAAUGCUGUCCUGCCAGUGGAAGCAGCACUACCUGGACUCCUCAUGGAUGCAGCACACUGGGCUCGUUGGCUCUGACCACUGCAUCCCACCGGGCCUGGAGAGAAAACCCCACAGCAAGUCCAUGACAUGGAAGUGGUUUAACCCAGGAGUUCUCCAGAGAUCUGCUCUACAUACCAAAGAGGGGAACGUGUCUAGAAGACGAUGACUGGAGAGGAGGUGACACGGUGGGCAAGCAGGGCAGGCACCUCCCGGCCAUCGGUGGAUGAUUCCCACUCAGUGUUGCAGAAGAUGCUGGAAAAGCCCCAUUGAUCCUUGCCUGCAAAGCCCAAGGGACAAUACCCAGCUCCAGGAGGUUUGCUCCUUGGUGUGCAAGCAGGAAUUGGCGGGUGAAGCAUCUUAUCUCAUUUAUACCUCAAGAUACUGUUAGUGUCAAAGUAAUUGCUCAGAUUUCUCCUUAACAAUUAACUUGGGCACUGGUGGUCUCUUGGAAGGAGGCGGUUGGGCUGUGGAUGUGGUGGUGCUGUGCUGGGAUGCGAGUCGGGAGCGCUUCUGGGGUGGAAGUGCCAUGGGGAAGGAAGGAGGUGGUGGAGAAAACGGUCUCUGAUGCUGCAGGGAGAGGGAUUGGGGUGGGAGGAUGCUGGAGGAGCAGAGCUGCUCCUGCCCAUUGCGGAUGAGGGGUCAUCAGGGGACGGAGCAGCUACCCCCGGGGCUGUGGUGCACAGCAGUGGUGUGCAAGGUGAUGGAAGCCCUAAAUGCACACGCUUGACUCCUGAGGGACUCCCUGGCACCCGCCUGAAGCAGGGAAGUGCCUGCGGCCGCCUUCCUCUAGGAAAAGUGCCCUCAGGGGCAGGAUGCUCCAAGAACCCACCUGAGCGAUGCUGCACAGGCAGGGCAGGGCUGAAACUAGCCUUGGAACCACAGAAUCCCACUGCAGCUCCAACCCUGGCCCCUCUUCCCCCUCGUCCCACCUGAGUCCUGGCUCCUCUCCACGUAGAAGAGAACUUGUACUUGCCCUGGGGCUGGAGGGCACAAAUCCUGCCUCUCCUCCUAUUAGACCCUGCUUUGGGCCGAGAGUGUUGGUCAAGGUUCAUGUGGUUGCUUAUGCUGUUGUGCGAACAGCAUGUAAAUGAAUGGAAAUGUCUUAU
This is a long non-coding RNA of Strigops habroptila (Kakapo), 2409 nucleotides long. Lineage: Eukaryota; Metazoa; Chordata; Aves; Psittaciformes; Psittacidae. The record is from Ensembl.